CAGCCGUAAACUAUGCGCGUUAGGUGUAUCGGUGACCACGAGUUACCGAGGUGCCGAAGGGAAACCGUGAAACGUGCCGCCGGGGAAGUACGGUCGCAAGGCUGAAACUUAAAGGAAUUGGCGGGGGAGGCACCACAACAGGUGGAGCCUGCGGUUUAAUUGGACUCAACGCCGGGAAGCUCACCGGAUAGGACAGCAGAAUGAUUGCCGGGCUGAAGACCCUGCAUGACUAGCUGAGAGGAGGUGCAUGGCGUAGACGUCU
RNAcentral lists this ribosomal RNA (262 nucleotides) under uncultured archaeon. RNAcentral's name for it is "partial 16S ribosomal RNA". It matches the Rfam family "Archaeal small subunit ribosomal RNA", at positions 748 to 1009 of the family's 1478-position model. The record is from RNAcentral.